GGCCCCGCGGGAGAGGCCGCGCCCCUCUCCGCACGCGCUCAACGGAGGCCCCGGGUGCGCAACCCCAGCCCGGCGGACACCCUGCGUGGCCCCGGGGAAUGGCGCGGAGCUGCCUCUCCCCCGGGAAAGUUGGAUCUGUGCGCCCAGACUUGGAAAAGGGAUUAGGACGCCGGCAGAUCUUGCCCUCACAGAGCAGAGGUGGGGGCCUAGGAAGGGGCACAUCGCCCAGAGGCGCGAAAUCCAAGAAGAAAAUGACACCCAUCAGCUAGCCUCACGCGGGAAGAAAGGGCGGGGUGGUUGGGGCGGGGGGACUGGCACCCUGCCCAUCCUCUCCCACUCCACAGUUCGGGCCCACAGUCCGGGAGUCGCAAGGAAUGUGAAUCACCAGGCAUAAUGUGAACCCCCAACAAACCCAAGGCCUCAGAAUGCUCCUCCCCUCUCCCUCCCCAUCCAGCAGAAACAUCCUCCCCUCCUUCCAACCUCUGCUCCAGCCAUGCCAACCCUUUAACCUUGUCCCAGAAUGUCUAAACCGUAUCUGCCUCUGUGCCUGUGCACAUGAGGUUGCCUUGGCCUGGGGUUUGCUCCACAGUCUUCUGCCAAACUCCUACUGCUUGGUGGCUGGAAGCCUUUGCACCCUGGCGCUCUCUCCCUCUCCUCCCAGGUCAGCAGUCACUGGCCUUCCUGUGCAUCCAGCCCGGCUUUGAACAGCCCUGGGCCCCAGUUCUUAUCUUUUUCCGAGUAAUUACAUAGUUGCAUGAUUGACUCCACCGGCUCUGGAUCAGAUGAGCGCCACUAAUGAGGGAUACAAGUUGUAAAACUAGGUUUUACGUGAACUCCAGUCAUCACAAUUUAGGUGCGGCUAGCGAUUUUACAGAUGAGGAGUUAGUAACUGACCCAAAUCCAGUGCUUCCGGGAUGCCGUUUUCCUUUUUUGUUUCUUAGCAGGGAUGUCAGAUGUUUGCAGAACAGAUCGUGUAAAAGUCAGUAUCCUAAGAGAUUAAAUUGUAAAGCAGGACAAGAUAGUUAAUGGAGUGUGUGUGUGUGCGUAUGUCUUUUCGAAAUUGAGAGGGAGGUAGAAGAAUUAGCCAAACCCCAGGAUUCACUCUGAGGUAGACCCACACAUCUUAGUUAGAUCCCAUUUAUUAAGCUGUAAUUAUUCACAGCAUUGCUGAAGACAUACACAAGACCCCUCCCAUCUCCCUGCGACUGACUGGUUCCAAGUAUGCUAUUAUACGUGUUAUUAUCACUGUGACUCAAUUAGGAGUGCUGCCGCAGGCCUUGAGGUUACCACAGUCAAACUGCAGGUGCAGGCGGUGAGUAACAAUGAUUAUAAUGCCUGCAUCUGGAUCAUGCUUUUUGCUUUUCAGAAUGCUUUCAAAUGUGUCUCCUCAUUAAAUCUCUGCAAACAUCCUCCAGGUAGUUAGGAAAAGUUUAAUGAGUUUCGCCUGACAAGGGAAACCAAGGCACAAAGCGGGCAGGUGAUUUGCACAAGGAGAGAGAUGGCUCCCCCAGGCUGCUCCGAGGGUGGAGCAGGCCGCUGUAACUCCAUGUCCUGCAGGAAGAGAUGGCUGAGUAUAGUUGGGAGCUCAGGCUCUAGUGACAAAGUGCCCAAUUUGCAACUUUCAGCUGAUUACUCAUACUUGGUUUCCUUUUCUGUUAAAUAGAUCUAAUAAUAGGAGCUUAUCUUGUAUGGUUUUGUGCCUGGUAUUUGAGCACCCAGCUCAGGUGAGCUGUUAUGUUAUGGUUCUGGGAAUGGUAUGACUGCUGCAGUUUCUGGCACACAGCUAUUCAGUCUUUCGUCAAAAAUUCCUGCGUAUCUACUAUGUGCCAGCCUCUGGGAAUACGAGGACGAAUGAGGCACAGACUACUACCUCCAAGAAGGUCGGGGUGUAAUAAUUCUGUGUCAGGGCACCAUGGUGCACAGAGACGAACUGUCCCUCCUGCUGCUGGUGCAGUGCAGAGCACCAGUUCAGAGCAGGGGAGAUAUUCACUUUCCUGGUCAAGCUUUGCUACUUAUUUAGCUGAGUGAAUCUUACAAUGUAAGACUGACUUACACAUACAGUGUACACAUACAGUGUAAUCUUACACUGAAUGUGACCUCUUACAACAUUGGUUUUUCUCAUGUUAGAUGGGGAUAGUAACAAUUUUUCAUGGGUGAAAACACAUGUGAUAAACAUAUUUUAUGAAAUGCAAAAUACUGUGCAGAUAGUUUUAUUAUUAUCAACGUGAUUGUUAUUAUCUUGGGCUUUACAGGGCUUGCUGCUUUUCAGAAUACUCUCCCAUUCCAUUGCUUUUCUUAGACAGAGUCUCGCGCUAUCACCCAGGCUGGAGUGCAGUGCUGCAAACUUGACUCACUGCAACCUCCACCUCCCCGAUUCAAGCAAUUCUCGUGCCUCAGCCACUUGAAUACCUGGGACUACAGACAUGCACCACCACGCUCAGCUAAUUUUUUGUAUUUUUAGUAGAGACAGGGUUUCACCAUGUUGGCCAGCCUGGUCUCGAAUUCCUGACCUCAAGAGAUCCGACCGCUUGGCCUCCCAAAGUGCUGGAAUUACAGGUGUGAGCCACCAUGCCCGGCCAUCCAUUACUUUUCUUAAGCCUGACAUAAACAUUACAUCAAAAACAGAACCCUAUUUUUUAUUUGAUGCCAGUCUUUUUCCUCUCCCAAGUAGUCCAUAUGGAAGAAAAACAGAAGUUGAGUAAGCAAUACGAAGGGAUGGGGCAGUUUGCAACUAGGAAGUCCACAGUGCCUUAGUCCUCAGCAUUACCUGCAGCUACAGAAGGGGGUGGACAUGAAAACCUAUCUGGAAAAAAAAUCUGGCAAAGGAUUGGGGGAAAAGCCCCUUUGUCAUCUCUGGAAUUGAACACAGGAAACCCCGCCCUGAGACCUUCCUUUCAGAAGCAGCCCAGAGAGAGAACCACAAGAAGGGCACUAAAAUUAUGCUGUUCGGAAGUUCUGACUCACUUGGCAGUGGGGGCUGUUUGUGCAACAUACCAAAAAGCGAAGUUUUUACCACUCUUUCCCUGUGUCUGUUCCCUGCAGCCAGCAUCUCCACCACCACUCAUGGGGAAGCAGGAAUCAAUUUAAUAAGCCUGGGGAAAUUAUCUGGGUCUGUUUCACAUUUGCUGUUGGUUAGCCAGCCUCAACAGCAAUCUGCACAAUCCUCAUUUUGUAAGCAUGAUGUUUUCAGUUUGCGUGUGUGUGUUCAGUCUCCACAGAUAGAUUACAGCAAAAGCUGCAAUGGCUUUUCUGGCUAAUAAAGCACCUCGUGGGUAAACUGAGGCAAGAGAGUAGGAAGGAGGGACAUUGCCCACGGUCCCAGGAUAGGAAUUGCUGUUCAGAACAUUUACAUUCCCAUCUCUCCGUCUCUAGCCUGGCUUCCCACUUAGUGGUGAGGUACAUAAGUGCUUUCAGCUUAGCACGGAUGAAAAGCUCACAUUAAGGGUGCCCACUUCUGGGGUGCCCCAUCGGAGAGGUCUUGGUUUGAGCCUGGAGAGCUGGUUCUCAUCCCAGUUCUGCUCUAAACUUUUCCUUCUUCUUUGUUUUUUCUUUGCCAGUUCUCCAAGUGUUAGCCUGUCCUUCCCUACUCGGGUGCUACAUGUGCUUCUAGGGUGAGCACAUCCAGCACCCUGGUUUCUUCACUUCUCCAUGGGCAGCUGCCACCCAUCAACGGAGCAGGGGCACCCCUCUGGGUGGCAAUGAGUCAUCUCAGUACCAAGCAGGGUAACUGCAGUAACUCAGAAUAUUCCUCUAUGUACAUUUAAUUGUGCUGCAUUUAUAAAAUACAAUUGUGUA
Non-coding RNA from Macaca mulatta (Rhesus monkey), 3795 nucleotides. Lineage: Eukaryota; Metazoa; Chordata; Mammalia; Primates; Cercopithecidae. The record is from RefSeq and is a predicted model, not a curated record.